UUACUUCCGUUAACACAAAAGCAGCAGCUUACUAUCUCCAAGUGACACAUCCAAGUGUGGCCCUCAGAUUUCUGGAGCCUGCAUAGAGUCUCGUAUCCAGACAGCAUGAGGAGGAUCGGUACACAGCAGUUGCAACUGUGUUAAAGGUGAAUGCCGGUACUCACAACUGCAAAUAAAAUCACCACACACUGUACGGCCUUCACACUGAGGCUUCACCAUACUCACCUGCAACCGCUGUAAGCUUGGGUUUAUUCGGGGGCUGAGUCCCCAUUUAAGUGGCCCAUCGACAGCUAAAGGUGCCAGCACCAUGAAGGGGUGGAAGAUUGGCUUUAGUCAUUGUGCUUCUGGCCUAGAAAACACCACCAUCUGAUCUUAUUUUGCAAUAAAUACAAGAAAAGGACGGAUUCAUUUUGGAUAGGAGAGGGUUAACUGUCCUGCAAAACCUCCUUGACAUAGUAACAAUACAUGGACCAAUAGAAUUUCUUUCCCAGCAACACUUGGCCUGCACGUCUAUGAACUUGAGCUGUCUCCUCCUCAAUCACCAUAGCGACAAGAUAUUUGGGUUCCUUGAGACUUAUUGUUCCCCGUCCAUCCUUUGCCGUGCUAGCAGAAACACUCCUACUCCUCCUGUUCACAGUAUCAAGGGAAGCAGAGGGAGGUGUCCACCCAUCCUGGCAAACGACAUUGCGAGGGAAUGUGACCUGAUCACUAAUCGCCCAUCUCACAUUCUGGACUGCAGAGGUGGAGUUCUGCUGGAGAUGUUCUCUGCCUGGACAAUCACACAACCCUUUCCAGCCCUCAUUAAGCUGCAACAAAACAGUCUGCAUUCCGUCCCCCUUUUGCACAACCACGAUGGAAUGAUCUGUCUGGAUGGGAAGCAAACAGAAGCUUUUCACUGUAUCAUGAUACUGCCCGAUCUGGUGUCAUUUCCAGCAAAUGCCAUUUUUAAAAAUGGAAAUAUCACAAGAAAACACUUCUGUAUUUUAAUAUUUUAAUUGGAUCAUCCUUCAGGAAUCUCUUAAUUGAAAGGAUUCCAACUUGGUUAGAUGACUAGUUAAUGUUAUCCAUUACUCGGGUUAAAUAUAUCCAUAAUACAUUGUAUUAUUUCCUACAAUAUAGAAACCAGUACAAAACACAGUAUUUAAUCAGUGCUUAACCAAAAGUAUAUAGCCAUCUGCCUUUCAGUCUAUUCCUUUGAAAGCCUACAGUCCAAAUCAGUGAAUUUAAACUUUGCAAAUUGGUUUAUUAUUGUCACAGUGAAAGAUUUCGUUUUGCAUGGCAUCUAAGCAGAACAUUAUAACACAUCAUUACAUUGAAGUAUAAAAGGCAAAACAAUAAGAGUUCAGACUAAAGUGUUGCAGUAACAGAGAAAAUGCAGUGCAGACAGACAAUAUGGUUUAAGGACAUGAUGACGUAGACUGCCCUUGAGCCUGGUGGUGCAUGAUUUCAGGAUUCUGUACUUUCUGCUUAAUAGGAGGGAGAGAAGAGAUAACAUCCGGAGUUAAUGGCGUUUCUGAUUAUGUCAGCUGUUUUGCUGAGGCAGCGAGGAGUGUAUACAGAGUCCAGAUAAUAUGUGAAAAUGUGAGGGUAUAGACAAUAGACAGUAGGUGCAGGAGUAGGCCAUUCGGCCCUUCUAGCCAGCACCACCAUUCACUGUGAUCAUGACUGAUCAUACACAAUCAGUACCCUGUUCCUGUCCUCUCCCCAUAUCCCUUGACCUCGCAAUCUAUAACAGCUCUAUCUAACUCUCUCUUGAAUGCAUCCAGAGACUUGGCCUCCACUGCCUUCUGGGGCAGAGCAUUCCACAUAUCCACCACUCUCUGGGUAGAAAAAGUUUUUCCGCAUCUCUGUUCUAAAUGGCCUACCCCUUAUUCUUAAACUGCGGCCUCUAGUUCUGGACUCACCCAUCAGCGGGAACAUGCUUCCUGCCUCCAGUGUGUCCAAUCCCUUAAUAAUCUUAUAUGUUUCAAGCAGAUCCCCUCUCAUCCUUCUAAAUUCCAGUGUAUACAAGCCCAGUCGCUCCAAUCUUUCAACAUAUGACAUUCCCGCCAUUCCGGGAAUUAACCUUGUGAACCUACGCUGCACUCUCUCAAUAGCAAGAAUGUCCUUCCUCAAAUUUGGAGACCAAAACUGCACACAAUACUCCAGGUGGGGUCUCACCAGGGCCUUGUACAGCUGCAAAAGGACCUCUUUACUCCUAUACUCAAUUCCUCUUGUUAUAAAGGCCAGCAUGCCAUUAUCUUUCUUCACUGCCUGCUGUACCUGCAUGCUUGCUUUCAUUGACUGACGUACAAGAACACCUAGAUCUCGUUGGUAUGAAGAAUCCCCUCUGGUACGAAAAAUAGAAUGGAAGAAUGUUGCUUCAAUGGAGUGAGAAAGCAGAAUGUGGCUAUAAAGAGGGGUUCCUGCGGAUCCCUUGGUUAAUGGUAAGUCUCCAUGGCAUAACGUAAGUUGGGAACCGUUGCUGUAAAGGGAUUUGGUCUCCUUGUAUAUGAAGUGCGGAGUCAGCAUACAGAAACUGCAAGGAAUUAGGAAGGCAAAUUGAAUGUUGUUUUUUUGCAAAGAGAAUGGGGAAUAAAAGUAGGAAAGUUUUGCUACAACUGCACAUGACCUUGGCAAGAUCACAGGUGGCGUACUUCAGGCAGCUUUUCUCUCAUUCUGGGGAAGAUAUAUUAAUGGCAAUUCACUUGCCUUGAUUCAUGGAAGGAAAUCAAUGAUUUAUGAGAAAAGGUGGAGACAAUGUUCAUUCAUUACAGUAAAACUAAGAGGUGAUCUCGUUGAAUCAUUAAGCACCAAGAGACAAGGUAGAUAUGGGCAGGUAGUUUCCCCUCAUGGGGGAAUCUAGAAAGUGGCCAAAGAAUAAGAGCUCAUGCAUUUGUGACAAAGACUAGAAGAUGAGAGAUGAAGAUAUUAAAGUAGGGGUUCCUAAUCUAGGGUUCAUGGACCCUUCAGUUAACGUUUGGGGUUCAUGCAUAGAAAAAGUUGGGAACCCCUGUGCUAAAGGGUCAUGAAUUUCUGGAACUUUUUUGUUACCUAGGGAACCAGAGGCCAAAUCAUUGCUUAUAUUCAAUGAUCAAUAGAUUUUUGAGCUACCAGGGAACCAUGGGUUAUGGACAACAUGUGGGAAAGUGGAGCAGAGAAGAAGAUCAUAACAGAUACAAUCAUCUUGAAUGAUGAACCAUAUUCAAGGAUCAAUAAGGGCAAUUUCUUUGUCUAUUUCUCAUGUUGUUAACAUGGAAUGAGGAUUCCGAAAGGCUCUACCACAAAUUCCUCUUCUUCAUCCUCAUCACAAUGAUGUCCUUGGCCAUUCGUGAUAGGGUCAGGAGCUUCACAGGACAGUUUCAAGGAGAACAGAAACCAGAUGCAGUUCUACCACUACGCAUGACACACUGCCAAGAUACCAGUUUUUUGUGCCAAUAUAAUUUUGCUUCCUCGCAGCCUUAUGCAAAGCAAGCAGCCCCAACUCUUGCAAACUCUGCCCACUCUGAAAGGCUGCUGUUGAGGCAGCCAAGCUCUCACCAACACUGCUCCCAUUGAUUUCAACAGCACCAGCUUUGUAUGCAUGAGCAGCUUCCCUCUUAAACAAUGGACUCCUUGUAGCCCAGUGUCAACACAAAGGCAGCAAUGGUUGGCAGCGCCAAGCAGAGCCAUUCUGUUCUGCAGCCUGUGUAGUGUAGAGGGCAUCUGGGGAAAAAAGGCGAAGCAACUCGUAGUUAUAUAACAUCAUUUGCAACCAUAGGACCUUAAGCCAAUUAUUUACUUUUACCCUUAACUGAAGUAAUUCAGGUCCUCAAGACAGCAAUAAGAUCAGAAUCAGAUCAUCUCUUUUCAGAUAUUGGUGGCAAAAACAACAGCAAAGUUCUCCUGACCAGUAUCCCCAAUCUGCUUUCCCAGUAUUAUUGAACACUCUCACCACCCCCAAUCACUACAACACUCCCACCACCCCCAAUCACUACAAUACCCUCAGCACCCACAAUCACUACAACACCCUCACCACCCCCAAUCACUACAACACUCCCACCACCUCCAAUCACUACAACACUCCCACCACCCCCAAUCACUACAAAACCCUCAGCACCCACAAUCACUACAACACCCUCACCACCCCCAAUCACCACAACACUCUCACCACCCCAAUCACUACAACACUCUCACCACCCCCAAUCACUACAACACUCCCACCACCCCCAAUCACUACAAUACCCUCAGCACCCACAAUCACUACAACACCCUCAGCACCCACAAUCACUACAACACCCUCACCACCCCCAAUCACUACAACACUCUCACCACCCCAAUCACUACAAUACUCUCACCACCCCCAAUCACUACAAC
Molecule: long non-coding RNA, 4335 nt
Organism: Hypanus sabinus (Atlantic stingray)
Lineage: Eukaryota; Metazoa; Chordata; Chondrichthyes; Myliobatiformes; Dasyatidae
Exons: 3
Source: RefSeq, a predicted model, not a curated record